CUUCAAGGUACAAGGCAUGACCUUAAGGGGCUGUGAGUGCUUCUUAUGCUAUAAAUAAGAGCUCAUAGCAAGCCAUCAAACUCACAAAUCUUCAGCCAUCUCCUUCUCUCUACAUCUUUGUGUAAAUCUCUCUCACUUACACUCUCUUUACCACUCUCGGUACACACACAAACACCACAUACAAACACCACUUCACCACCCUUAACCACCUCUUACGCUGUUUGAUAUUGCCGCUGAAACUAAAUAAAUCUCGACGAUUCGUCUUCACGGCAAUACAUCUCGAUUUUUCUCGCAACAAUUACUCGACAACCACACAUUAAGGGGAUCAUUAGCCAGCCGUUCAGACAGAAGAUUAGCUGUGGAUUGCAGAUGACCUAGCUAGCUUGUUUUUGAUACAUGCUUACCUGUUUAAGGCAACUACUGUACUAUUAUUAUCUGUAAGAACCUUGUAUUCAAACUUAAUGAUGGAAUACAAAUGCAGUUUUGUUUA
Molecule: long non-coding RNA, 490 nt
Organism: Lactuca sativa (garden lettuce)
Lineage: Eukaryota; Viridiplantae; Streptophyta; Magnoliopsida; Asterales; Asteraceae
Source: RefSeq, a predicted model, not a curated record